RNAcentral lists this ribosomal RNA (408 nucleotides) under uncultured bacterium. RNAcentral's name for it is "partial 16S ribosomal RNA". It matches the Rfam family "Bacterial small subunit ribosomal RNA", at positions 28 to 526 of the family's 1533-position model. The record is from RNAcentral.
GACGAACGCUGGCGGCGUGCUUAACACAUGCAAGUCGAACGCAGUGGCGAACGGGUGAGUAACGCGUAAUCAACUUGCCCAUCAGCGGGGGACAACAGUUGGAAACGACUGCUAAUACCCCAUACGGAGGGAGGGGCUUGCGUCUGAUUAGCUGGUGGGAGGGGUAAAGGCCUACCAAGGCGAUGAGCAGUAGCCGGUCUGGGAGCAGGAGCAGCGACACGGGGACUGGGACACGGUCCAGACUCCCACGGGGGGGAGCGGUGGGGGAUCUUCCGCAAUGGGCGAAAAGCUGACGGAGCAACGCCGCGUGAGUGAGGACGGGCUUCGGGUUGUAAAGCUCUGUUAAGCGAGACGCGGUACCGGAAUAGGAAGCCACGGCUAACUACGUGCCAGCCGCCGCGGUAAUAC